RNAcentral lists this ribosomal RNA (1546 nucleotides) under Enterococcus faecium. RNAcentral describes it as "bacterial SSU rRNA". It matches the Rfam family "Bacterial small subunit ribosomal RNA". Lineage: Bacteria; Bacillati; Bacillota; Bacilli; Lactobacillales; Enterococcaceae. The record is from RNAcentral.
UAGAGUUUGAUCCUGGCUCCAGGACGAACGCUGGCAGCGUGCCUAAUACAUACAAGUCGACACUUCUUUUUCCACCGGAGCUUGCUCCACCGGAAAAAGAGGUAGCGACAGGUGAGUAACACGUGGGUAACCUGCCCAUCAGAAGGGAUAACACUUGGAAACAGGUGCUAAUGCAAUACCUAUAACAAUCAGAAACCGCAUGGUUUUGAUUUGAAAGGCCUUUCAGGUGUCGCUGAUGGAUGGACCCGGUGCAUUAGCUAGUUGGUAGGGUAACGGCUCACCAAGGCCACGAUCAUAUAGCCGACCUGAGAGGGUGAUCAGCCACAUUGGGACUGGGGCACAGCCCAAACUCCUACGGGAGGCAGCAGUAGGAAUCUUCGGCAAUGGACGAAAGUCUGACCGAGCAACGCCGCGUGAGUGAAGAAGGUUUUCGGAUCGUAAAACUCUAUUUGUUAGAAGAACAAGGAUAGAGUAACUGUUUCAUCCCUUGACGGUAUCUAACCAGAAGCCACGGCUAACUACGUUACCAGCAGCCGCGGUAAUACGUGGGUAGCAAGCGUUAUCCGGAUUUAUUGGGCGUAAAGCGAGCGCAGGCGGUUUCUUAAGUCUGAUGUGAAGCCCCAGCUCAACCAGGGAGGAGUCAUUAGAAACUGGGAGACUUGAGUGCAGAAGAGGAGAGUGGAAUUCCAUGUAGCGGUAAAUGCGUAGAUAUAUGGAGGAAACCCAGUGGCGAAGGCGGCUCUCUGGUCUGUAACUGGCGCUGAGGCUCGAAGCGUAGGGAGCAAACAGGAUUAGAUACCCUGGUAGUCCACGCCGUAAACGAUGAGUGCUAAGUGUUGAGAGGUUUCCGCCCUUCAGUGCUGCAGCUAACGCAUUAAGCACUCCGCCUGGGAGUACGACCGCAAGGUUGAAACUCAAAGGAAUUGACAGGGGGCCCGCACAGCGGUGGAGCAUGUGGUUUAAUUCGAAGCAACGCGAAGAACCUUACCAGAUCUUGACAUCCUUUGGCCACUCUAGAGAUAGAGCUUCCUUCAGGGGCAAAGUGACAGGUGGUGCAUGGUUGUCGUCAGCUCGUGUCGUGAGAUGUUGGGUUAAGUCCCGCAACAGGCACAACCCUUAUUAUUAGUGCCAUCAUUCAGUUGGGCACUCUACAAGACUGCCGGUGACAAACCGGAGGAAGGUAGGAUGACGUCAAAUCAUCCCAUGCCUUAUGACCUGGGCUACACACGUGCUACAAUGGGAAGUACAACGAGUCAAGUCGCGAGGCUAAGCUAAUCUCAAAGCUUCUCUCAGUUCGGAUUGCAGGCUGCAACUCGCCUGCAUGAAGCCAGAAUCGCUAGUAAUCGCGGAUCAGCACGCCGCGGUGAAUACGUUCAGGCCUUGUACACACCGCCCAUCCACACCACGGAGUUUGCCAUAACACCAGAAGUCAGGUAGGUAACCUUUGGGAGCCAGCCGCCUAAGGUGGGAUAGAUGAUUAGGGUAGAAGUCGUAACAAGGUAGCCGUAUCGGAAGGUGCGGCUGGAUCACCCUCCUUUCUAAGGAA